This 1902-nucleotide ribosomal RNA is filed under the name Salmonella enterica subsp. enterica. Its description in RNAcentral is "partial 23S ribosomal RNA". It matches the Rfam family "Bacterial large subunit ribosomal RNA", at positions 1226 to 2925 of the family's 2925-position model. Lineage: Bacteria; Pseudomonadati; Pseudomonadota; Gammaproteobacteria; Enterobacterales; Enterobacteriaceae. The record is from RNAcentral.
GGGUAGGGGAGCGUUCUGUAAGCCUGUGAAGGUGUGUCGUGAGGCAUGCUGGAGGUAUCAGAAGUGCGAAUGCUGACAUAAGUAACGAUAAAGCGGGUGAAAAGCCCGCUCGCCGGAAGACCAAGGGUUCCUGUCCAACGUUAAUCGGGGCAGGGUGAGUCGACCCCUAAGGCGAGGCCGAAAGGCGUAGUCGAUGGGAAACGGGUUAAUAUUCCCGUACUUGGUGUUACUGCGAAGGGGGGACGGAGAAGGCUAUGUUGGCCGGGCGACGGUUGUCCCGGUUUAAGCGUGUAGGUGUGUGUUCCAGGUAAAUCCGGUUCACUUUAACACUGAGGCGUGACGACGAGGCACUACGGUGCUGAAGCAACAAAUGCCCUGCUUCCAGGAAAAGCCUCUAAGCAUCAGGUAACAUCAAAUCGUACCCCAAACCGACACAGGUGGUCAGGUAGAGAAUACCAAGGCGCUUGAGAGAACUCGGGUGAAGGAACUAGGCAAAAUGGUGCCGUAACUUCGGGAGAAGGCACGCUGACACGUAGGUGAAGUGAUUUACUCAUGGAGCUGAAGUCAGUCGAAGAUACCAGCUGGCUGCAACUGUUUAUUAAAAACACAGCACUGUGCAAACACGAAAGUGGACGUAUACGGUGUGACGCCUGCCCGGUGCCGGAAGGUUAAUUGAUGGGGUCAGCGCAAGCGAAGCUCCUGAUCGAAGCCCCGGUAAACGGCGGCCGUAACUAUAACGGUCCUAAGGUAGCGAAAUUCCUUGUCGGGUAAGUUCCGACCUGCACGAAUGGCGUAAUGAUGGCCAGGCUGUCUCCACCCGAGACUCAGUGAAAUUGAACUCGCUGUGAAGAUGCAGUGUACCCGCGGCAAGACGGAAAGACCCCGUGAACCUUUACUAUAGCUUGACACUGAACAUUGAGCCUUGAUGUGUAGGAUAGGUGGGAGGCUUUGAAGUGUGGACGCCAGUCUGCAUGGAGCCGACCUUGAAAUACCACCCUUUAAUGUUUGAUGUUCUAACGUGGACCCGUUACCCGGGUUGCGGACAGUGUCUGGUGGGUAGUUUGACUGGGGCGGUCUCCUCCUAAAGAGUAACGGAGGAGCACGAAGGUUGGCUAAUCCUGGUCGGACAUCAGGAGGUUAGUGCAAUGGCAUAAGCCAGCUUGACUGCGAGCGUGACGGCGCGAGCAGGUGCGAAAGCAGGUCAUAGUGAUCCGGUGGUUCUGAAUGGAAGGGCCAUCGCUCAACGGAUAAAAGGUACUCCGGGGAUAACAGGCUGAUACCGCCCAAGAGUUCAUAUCGACGGCGGUGUUUGGCACCUCGAUGUCGGCUCAUCACAUCCUGGGGCUGAAGUAGGUCCCAAGGGUAUGGCUGUUCGCCAUUUAAAGUGGUACGCGAGCUGGGUUUAGAACGUCGUGAGACAGUUCGGUCCCUAUCUGCCGUGGGCGCUGGAGAACUGAGGGGGGCUGCUCCUAGUACGAGAGGACCGGAGUGGACGCAUCACUGGUGUUCGGGUUGUCAUGCCAAUGGCACUGCCCGGUAGCUAAAUGCGGAAGAGAUAAGUGCUGAAAGCAUCUAAGCACGAAACUUGCCCCGAGAUGAGUUCUCCCUGAGACUUAGAGAACUGAGGGGGGCUGCUCCUAGUACGAGAGGACCGGAGUGGACGCAUCACUGGUGUUCGGGUUGUCAUGCCAAUGGCACUGCCCGGUAGCUAAAUGCGGAAGAGAUAAGUGCUGAAAGCAUCUAAGCACGAAACUUGCCCCGAGAUGAGUUCUCCCUGAGACUUAGAGUCUCCUGAAGGAACGUUGAAGACGACGACGUUGAUAGGCCGGGUGUGUAAGCGCAGCGAUGCGUUGAGCUAACCGGUACUAAUGAACCGUGAGGCUUAACCUUACAACGCCGAAG